AUUGAACGCUGGCGGCAGGCCUAACACAUGCAAGUCGAGCGGAUGAAGGGAGCUUGCUCCUGGAUUCAGCGGCGGACGGGUGAGUAAUGCCUAGGAAUCUGCCUGGUAGUGGGGGAUAACGUCCGGAAACGGGCGCUAAUACCGCAUACGUCCUGAGGGAGAAAGUGGGGGAUCUUCGGACCUCACGCUAUCAGAUGAGCCUAGGUCGGAUUAGCUAGUUGGUGGGGUAAAGGCCUACCAAGGCGACGAUCCGUAACUGGUCUGAGAGGAUGAUCAGUCACACUGGAACUGAGACACGGUCCAGACUCCUACGGGAGGCAGCAGUGGGGAAUAUUGGACAAUGGGCGAAAGCCUGAUCCAGCCAUGCCGCGUGUGAAGAAGGUCUUCGGAUUGUAAAGCACUUUAAGUUGGGAGGAAGGGCAGUAAGUUAAUACCUUGCUGUUUUGACGUUACCAACAGAAUAAGCACCGGCUAACUUCGU
RNAcentral lists this ribosomal RNA (481 nucleotides) under uncultured bacterium. RNAcentral describes it as "partial 16S ribosomal RNA". It matches the Rfam family "Bacterial small subunit ribosomal RNA", at positions 30 to 506 of the family's 1533-position model. The record is from RNAcentral.